Molecule: long non-coding RNA, 329 nt
Filed under: Fukomys damarensis (Damara mole-rat)
Lineage: Eukaryota; Metazoa; Chordata; Mammalia; Rodentia; Bathyergidae
Description: lncRNA (ENSFDAG00000031090.1)
Source: RNAcentral
AGUGACUUUUAAAUUCAUUGUUUUUUUCAAGGAAGUUUCCAUUCUUUUGAAAAGUUUGGAUUCCAAAGAGAAUGAAUAACUCAUCUUCACAUCAGAUGCUGGCCAGCCAGAUGGAAGGACUGCCAAGCACAUGCAGCUUGCAUAGCCAGAAGAUCACUCUGCCUAUCUGGAAAUCAUACCUUCACUCACUGGGGAGGUUCUGGGUGCUCUUUACAUCCUAAGAAGCAAGGCCCUCCCAAAUGAUUUCAAGAGCACUCGUGGCCAAUGACUAACAAUUAUGCUAAAUCAAGGUAUAAUUUUAAAAAUAUUUUCUCUUUUAUUCAUAUUGU